UCAAGUUAUUAAGGGUGCAGGGCGGAUGCCUUGGCACUAGGAGCCGAUGAAGGACGUGAUAAGCUGCGAUAAGCUUCGGGGAGUUGCACGUAAACUUUGAUCCGAAGAUUUCCGAAUGAGGAAACUCACUUAGAGUAAUGUCUAAGUAUCAUUAAGUGAAUACAUAGCUUAAUGAGGGGAACUCAGGGAACUGAAACAUCUAAGUACCUGAAGGAAGAGAAAGAAAUUCGAUUCCGUAAGUAGCGGCGAGCGAACGCGGAUUAGCCCAAACCAAUAAAGUUUUCUUUAUUGGGGUUGCGGACAUAUCAUAACGAAGAGGUAUCGUAAUUGAAGAGGUUUGGAAAGACCCACCACAGAAGGUAAUAGUCCUGUAUGUUAAACGAGAAGACUUCAGAUAUGAUCCAGAGUACCACGGGACACGUGAAACCCUGUGGGAAGCAGGAGGGACCACCCUCCAAGGCUAAAUACUACCUAGUGACCGAUAGCGUAUAGUACCGUGAGGGAAAGGUGAAAAGAACCCCGGGAGGGGAGUGAAAUAGAACCUGAAACCCUGCACUUACAAGCUGUGGAAGCACAUUUCUUGUGUGACCGCGUACUUUUUGUAGAACGGGCCAACGAGUUACGUUAAGUAGCAAGGUUAAGCACUUAAGGUGUGGAGCCGUAGCGAAAGCGAGUUUUAACUGAGCGUUCAGUUACUUGACGUAGACCCGAAACCGGGCGACCUACCCAUGAGCAGGAUGAAGCGAAAGUAAAAUUUCGUGGAGGUCCGAACCCACGAGCGUUGAAAAGCUCGGGGAUGACUUGUGGGUAGCGGUGAAAUUCCAAUCGAGCCCGGAGAUAGCUGGUUCUCCCCGAAAUAGCUUUAGGGCUAGCCUCAAGGUGAGAGAUACGGAGGUAGAGCACUGAAUGUCCUAGGGGGUAUUGCACCUACCGAAGACUAUCAAACUCCGAAUGCCGUCAUCUUAUACUUGGGAGUCAGACUGUGGGUGAUAAGAUUCAUAGUCGAAAGGGCAACAGCCCAGAUCGUCAGCUAAGGUCCCUAAAUGUAAGUUAAGUGGUAAAGGAUGUGGGAUUGCACAGACAACCAGGAUGUUGGCUUAGAAGCAGCCACUCAUUCAAAGAGUGCGUAAUAGCUCACUGGUCGAGUGAUCCUGCGCCGAAGAUUUCCGGGGCUAAAACUUACUACCGAAGCUACGGCAUCAGUAAUGAUGGGUAGGGGAGCUUCCCAUACGGGUUGAAGCAUGACCGUAAGGACAUGUGGACAGUAUGGGAGUGAGAAUGUUGGCAUGAGUAGCGAGAUGUGGGUGAGAAUCCCACAGGCCGUAAACCCAAGGUUUCCAGGGGAAGGUUCGUCCGCCCUGGGUUAGUCGGGACCUAAGCUGAGGCCGAAAGGCGUAGGUGAUGGACAACAGGUUGAUAUUCCUGUACUACCGAUAACCGUUUGAGAGAAGGGAUGACACAGUAGGAUAAGCUAAGCACACUGUUGGUUAUGUGUGCCCAAGCAUUGAGGCAGUCAAAGUAGGCAAAUCCGCUUUGAUAAUGCUGGGAUGUGAUGGGGAGCGAAAUUUAGUAGCGAAGUAGCUGAUUUCACACUGUCAAGAAAAGUCUCUAUCGAGGUUAAAGGUACCCGUACCGCAAACCGACACAGGUGGGUGAGGAGAGUAUCCUAAGGCCAGCGAGAGAACUGUUGUUAAGGAACUCGGCAAAAUGACCCCGUAACUUAGGGAUAAGGGGUGCCACCAUCAGGUGGCCGCAGAGAAUAGGCCCAAGCGACUGUUUACCAAAAACAUAGGUUUCUGCUAAGUCGCAAGACGAUGUAUAGGAGCUGACGCCUGCCCGGUGCUGGAAGGUUAAGGGGAUCUGUUAGAGCAAUCGAAGCAGUGAACUUAAGCCCCAGUAAACGGCGGCCGUAACUAUAACGGUCCUAAGGUAGCGAAAUUCCUUGUCGGGUAAGUUCCGACCCGCACGAAAGGCGUAACGAUUUGGGCACUGUCUCAACAACAGACUCGGUGAAAUUGUAAUUCCGGUGAAGAUGCCGGAUACCUGCGACAGGACGGAAAGACCCCAUGGAGCUUUACUGUAGCUUGACAUUGGGUCUUGGUACUACAUGUACAGGAUAGGUGGGAGGCUUUGAAACCAGGACGCCAGUUUUGGCGGAGCCAUCCUUGGGAUACCACCCUUGUAGUACUGGGACUCUAACCAUAGGCCAUGAAUCUGGUCUUGGGACACUGUCAGGUGGGCAGUUUGACUGGGGCGGUCGCCUCCCAAAAGGUAACGGAGGCGCUCAAAAGUUCUCUCAGUACGGUCGGAAAUCGUACGUAGAGUGUAAAGGCAAAAGAGAGCUUGAUUGCAAGACAUACAGGUCGAGCAAGGAUGAAAAUCGGACUUAGUGAUCCGGUGGUUCUGCGUGGAAGGGCCAUCGCUCAACGGAUAAAAGCUACCCUGGGGAUAACAGGCUUAUCUCCCCCAAGAGUCCACAUCGACGGGGAGGUGUGGCACCUCGAUGUCGGCUCAUCACAUCCUGGGGCUGUAGUAGGUCCCAAGGGUUGGGCUGUUCGCCCAUUAAAGUGGUCGCGAGCUGGGUUCAGAACGUCGUGAGACAGUUCGGUCCCUAUCCGUCGCAGGCGUAGGAAAUUUGAGAAGACCUGUCCUUAGUACGAGAGGACCGGGAUGGACGUACCUCUGGUGUACCAGUUGUUCUGCCAAGGGCAUGGCUGGGUAGCUAUGUACGGAAUGGAUAAGCGCUGAAAGCAUCUAAGCGCGAAGCCAACUUCAAGAUAAGAUUUCCCA
This 2790-nucleotide ribosomal RNA is filed under the name Clostridioides difficile. Its description in RNAcentral is "23S ribosomal RNA". It matches the Rfam family "Bacterial large subunit ribosomal RNA". Lineage: Bacteria; Bacillati; Bacillota; Clostridia; Peptostreptococcales; Peptostreptococcaceae. The record is from RNAcentral.